GCGAGCUUAACCGAAUAGGGUAGGCGAAGCGAAAGCGAGUCUGAAUAGGGCGAUUCAGUAGCUGGGCGUAGACCCGAAACCGGAUGAUCUACUCAUGGCCAGGAUGAAGCGGGGGUAACACCUCGUGGAGGUACCGAACCCACUAGUGUUAGAAAAACUAGGGGAUGAGCUGUGGGUAGGGGUGAAAGGCUAAAACAAAUCCGGAAAAUAGCUGGUUCUCUCCGAAAGCUAUUUAGGUAGCGCCUCGUGUAUCACUCUUGGGGGUAGAGCACUGUCAUGGCUAGGGGGCCGCUUAAGGCUUACCAAACCAUAGCAAACUCCGAAUACCGAGAAGUGCAAUCACGGGAGACAGACAUCGGGGUGCUAACGUCCGGUGUCAAGAGGGAAACAACCCAGACCGCCAGCUAAGGUCCCAAAUGACACGCUAAGUGGAAAACGAAGUGGGAAGGCUUAGACAGCCAGGAGGUUGGCUUAGAAGCAGCCACCCUUUAAAGAAAGCGUAAUAGCUCACUGGUCGAGUCGUCCUGCGCGGAAGAUGUAACGGGG
RNAcentral lists this ribosomal RNA (546 nucleotides) under uncultured bacterium. RNAcentral's name for it is "bacterial LSU rRNA". It matches the Rfam family "Bacterial large subunit ribosomal RNA", at positions 640 to 1180 of the family's 2925-position model. The record is from RNAcentral.